RNAcentral lists this ribosomal RNA (262 nucleotides) under uncultured archaeon. Its description in RNAcentral is "partial 16S ribosomal RNA". It matches the Rfam family "Archaeal small subunit ribosomal RNA", at positions 717 to 982 of the family's 1478-position model. The record is from RNAcentral.
ACACGACUACAUUAGAUACCCCUGUAGUCCUAGCCGUAAACGAUACUCGCUAGGUGUCGGCCACGGUGCGACCGUUGUCGGUGCCGUAGGGAAGCCGUGAAGCGAGCCACCUGGGAAGUACGGCCGCAAGGCUGAAACUUAAGGAAUUGCGGGGAGCACCACAACGGGUGGAGCCUGCGGUUUAAUCGGACUCAACGCCGGGAAUCUCACCGGAUAAGACAGCUGAAUGAUAGUCGGGAUGAAGACUCUACUUGACUAGCUG